Molecule: long non-coding RNA, 801 nt
Filed under: Elaeis guineensis (African oil palm)
Lineage: Eukaryota; Viridiplantae; Streptophyta; Magnoliopsida; Arecales; Arecaceae
Description: long non-coding RNA (EGUI_LNC011542)
Source: RNAcentral
CUCGAGAUGCUCUGCCUUGCAACUUUGCAUGCAGCCUAAGUGCUUUAGCUUUCACGAGCACUCUUCACCCUGAAUUCCUUUCUUCAGCCAUGAAUUGAUACACUUUCACAUUCACAGGCCUCCAUCCACUAGUGCCAUUUAUGAGCAUCCUUUUUCAUUUAGCACUGAGCACAUUGCCCUACAACAUGCUCCCCCACUCUGAGUCAUUGACACCCACAACAGACUCAGACAUCCAGUUCCUCUGAACUUAGACUUCAAAUUCACAUUGCUUUAGAUAUCCCCUGUAUCUGCAACCAAAAUAUUCAACUUGAUACCACACGUAUCAGAAGCUAACACCAAGCAUAAUGUCGACCAUCGACUUAGCCAAUCUGACUCUGAUACCAACUGUCAUGGGGUGAGUGUUUUCUUACUCAAACACCUGUGCGGCGUCCCAGCAUGCCACACACCAAAGUCAGCCCUCUUGAGUCCUUUCCUCGAACAUACCAAUAAGCACGCAACAGUCCAGCCACACAGCCAAGCUUACACCUCUAUACCCCUACCUGGUAACACUAUUGUACUGAAUACAGAUGACACCCUCAAGUGCCCAUAAGCAAUCCGACCCCUCGAAUCAACUGCAAUGCUCAUGUGCACCUCCAUGCCAUAACCUAGAUUCUUUUCAAGAGUGCUCCGUAGCCCAACACCUCUGUGUCAACUCUAAGGCUUUGCCCCUCAAGCCAAGCACUGCUCAACCCAGAUGUCUUGAUCCUUCACAUACCCUCGUGCCAUGACAUAACCACUGUAUCACUGAUCCGCAAUCCACCA